UUUGAUGGCGACCGGCGCACGGGUGAGUAACACGUAUCCAACCUGCCGAUGACUCGGGGAUAGCCUUUCGAAAGAAAGAUUAAUACCCGAUGGCAUAGUUCUUCCGCAUGGUAGAACUAUUAAAGAAUUUCGGUCAUCGAUGGGGAUGCGUUCCAUAAGGUUGUUGGCGGGGUAACGGCCCACCAAGCCUUCGAUGGAUAGGGGUUCUGAGAGGAAGGUCCCCCACAUUGGAACUGAGACACGGUCCAA
This 249-nucleotide ribosomal RNA is filed under the name uncultured bacterium. RNAcentral describes it as "partial 16S ribosomal RNA". It matches the Rfam family "Bacterial small subunit ribosomal RNA", at positions 84 to 334 of the family's 1533-position model. The record is from RNAcentral.